UUGGGGAAUCAUCAUAAAGACUGUUUGCCCGAUUUCCAACAUUUGUCUACUGUCUUCAUGAGUUCAGACAGACCCACCUAGCAGCUCUGGGGCUCACCUGAGGUCCAUGCCCUACAUGUCAGGAGUCAGACUUGAAACCCUUCUCGUGUGAAAAUCUGGAAGCUGCAAACAGCCCAUUUUACACCUGAGUACCCCACCCAUAGGUUGCUGAGGCAACUGCUGCUUACACGUGGAGAAAAAACUGACUCAGAGCUUGAACGGUUUGAAGUGUGCGAGAACCAUGAGAUACAGGUGAAUAUUCAGGAGGGAGCCCAUGGCCUGGAGAGGAAGCUGGUGACCAGGGAAGAGCAGAAGAGUGAAAUCUGCUGCCAUUUGCCAUGGCAGACUGCCAUGGGCACAAUGGCUAACUCUGCAGGUGCAGUGAUCAUGACUGAGAGACAGAAACCCACGUGACAGCAGCCCCCUGGGGCAGCUUAGUGGUCACACUAACUCUGGAACUUUGGAAUUCUGGAAGGGUUUCAUUGUCAUUUUUAUCUGGGACCCCAACCAGAUAAUGAAAGUUCCCACUAAAAAAGAACUUGAAAUGACUAAUAUUUCCAAAGUAUAUAGAAAAUUAAUGAGAAAAGAUUGUGCCCACAGAAGAAGACUCUAGACCCAGGUGAAAGGACAUUCACCUUGCAAAGAGCACACAGAACCAAGUAAACAGACACGGAUACUCCUGGGAUAAUAAAUAACAAUGAAAUGAAUUGGUUAAGAGCUUC
RNAcentral lists this long non-coding RNA (761 nucleotides) under Felis catus (domestic cat). RNAcentral's name for it is "lncRNA (ENSFCAG00000048179.1)". Lineage: Eukaryota; Metazoa; Chordata; Mammalia; Carnivora; Felidae. The record is from RNAcentral.